Molecule: ribosomal RNA, 253 nt
Filed under: uncultured bacterium
Lineage: Bacteria
Description: partial 16S ribosomal RNA
Rfam family: Bacterial small subunit ribosomal RNA
Source: RNAcentral
UACGUAGGGGGCAAGCGUUAUCCGGAUUUACUGGGUGUAAAGGGAGUGUAGACGGCGAUGCAAGUCUGGAGUGAAAGCCCGGUGCUCAACACCGGGACUGCUUUGGAAACUGUAAAGCUGGAGUGCCGGAGAGGUAAGCGGAAUUCCUAGUGUAGCGGUGAAAUGCGUAGAUAUUAGGAAGAACACCAGUGGCGAAGGCGGCUUACUGGACGGUAACUGACGUUGAGGCUCGAAAGCGUGGGGAGCAAACAGG